UCAGCGGCCUCAGCGGCGGUGGUGCGCCAUUUUUAUUUUGAGCUCUUCCAAGAGUGAAAGUUCUUUUUCGUUCUAAAUUUAAAUUUUGUUUUAAGUAUUUAAUAUUGUGAUAAACAUAUAUAAACUGCUAAUGUUUUAAAAAUAAUUGUGACAGUGAAAAAAGUGUAUUCAAAAACGGCGGUUUCGGUCACUUCUUGAGGUUUUGUCAUCCGUUAAAUCCAAAAAGCGAUCCGCUGUUUGCUGCCUCCGGCGCCAGGGUAAUAUUUUGCUCGAGCUAUUGGAUGUCGAGGAAGAUCAUCCGUGGAAAAGUGCCACACAAGGCCUAGAAACAGUUCUGUAUGCGUCCCAACAGGAAGUUCAAUGAUGUUGGUCAAACUGUCAGCAAUGACCAAGAGAAAGUCCCGUCGUACUUUGACUCCAAGAGUCGGCCGAUUCUCGGGAAGCUAAAACAUGAAAAGCGGAGUUUCAGUCACCGCCGGUUGCGGAAUAAAACGUUUUCUGCGAUAUUGGAGUAAAACAAGAUUGAAGAUGUCGAGAAAAAGUACACCAAACAUUGGACACAAGGUUGUCCAAUUCGAUUUGCCGAUAAUAAACAACUAUAUAUAUAAUCUACUUCUCCUAUUUUGUGGGAAAAUUGAAUUUAAUCCCCAAGCUCACUAGCGGAACGACGACGGAAGUGGCACAGGAUUUGACAGAAAGUAUUUGAUGUCGUCCAAGAGCACCAAAUUCCGUGCCGCUCGAUUACGUUCAUUCCAUGGUGCGGUGGUGACUCGUCUGAAACAAGGCCGGAAGUUUUGAGUGAGGGAUCGCUCACCAUUUGCUCACCAUCGCUCACCGGAUCGGAAAUUCUCGUUCAGGAUGACACGAUUCCCUUGUCUAAUAAUACCAUUACACUUGAGAGAUGCGGAUGGACCGAUCAGGAAAAGAUUCAUACUUUGAGAUUCCAAUCGACGAACAAUCCUACCGGUGUGUGAAUAAUGAUAACCGACAGUGAAAUCAAUCAUUCAGAAUAUAAUCUGCGCUAAUUUUCACUAUGCCGCUGUACAGAAAACCCAAUCUACAAUGGGCAUAAAAUUAAUUGUUUUUUAUAUAAAUUGUAUGCAACAGAGAAAAAAACAUGGGACUAAUAAAAUAUUAUUCUAAAUGCAAUUUCAACAAC
Molecule: long non-coding RNA, 1159 nt
Organism: Armigeres subalbatus
Lineage: Eukaryota; Metazoa; Arthropoda; Insecta; Diptera; Culicidae
Exons: 3
Source: RefSeq, a predicted model, not a curated record